AUGCAUAUAAUGGCAGAGUUCUACGAAUCUGAGAUGAUGGUGCCGUUCGGACCAAAGGCAAUAACAAAUCUAUGUACAAGUUUCCGUAGAGAUGACACAAAGGAGGGUGACAUGAUUGAGACAAUUGCGCACUUCAAGGAUAUACAGAAAAACGAUCCAGACUUCUUCUAUAAGGUAAAAUAUGAUGAAGAGGACAGAGUUGUCAACAUAUUUUGGGUGGAUGGCUUAGCUCAAAAAGCUUAUGUUGAGGCUUACCACGAUUGCAUAACGUUUGACACUACCUACAUGACCAACAUGUAUAAUAUGCCAUUUGCACCUUUCAUUGGAAUAAACCAACAUGGCCAAUCUUUCAUGCUCGGUUGCACGUUUGUGAAGUAG
This 378-nucleotide ribosomal RNA is filed under the name Triticum aestivum (bread wheat). RNAcentral describes it as "partial small subunit ribosomal RNA". Lineage: Eukaryota; Viridiplantae; Streptophyta; Magnoliopsida; Poales; Poaceae. The record is from RNAcentral.